This 15489-nucleotide long non-coding RNA is filed under the name Triticum aestivum (bread wheat). Its description in RNAcentral is "long non-coding RNA (TAES_LNC028521)". The stretch from base 13220 to 13354 matches the Rfam family "MIR1120/MIR1122 microRNA precursor family". The record is from RNAcentral. Lineage: Eukaryota; Viridiplantae; Streptophyta; Magnoliopsida; Poales; Poaceae.
AGGCCCCCGGGGCCGGCGCCGCGGCCAACCCCCGGUUCGCCCUCGCGCCCGACGACGACGACGGCCCCGAGAACCCCCUCGUCGCGUUCGUCCACCCGCGCAGCGGCGACCGCCCCGGCCCCGUCCUCAAGUCCCGCCCGCAGGAGCUCACCGGCGAAGACCAGGUCAAACCAUCUCUCUCCCCCUCUCAUAUUUCGUAUUGCGUGGCGCUGCCUGCGAGUGAGCCAUUUUAGAGGAAAACAUGCCACCACUACGUGAUGAGAUGGUGGCCGUCCGGCGGUACGCGGAGCUGCUGUCGCGGUGCCGCGGCGGCGCGGACGCGCGGCCGAUCGCGCGGAUCCAGGCGGCCCUGGUCACGUCGGGCCUGCUCCGGCGCAGCGCGGAGCUCCACGACGCGCUCAUCCGGGCGCUCGCCAGCUCCGGGAGGCCGCAGGCGGCGCUCCCGCUCUACGCCCACCUCCUCCGCGCGGGCCUCCUCCCCACCCCGCACACCCUCCCCUCGCUCCUCAAGUCGCUCGCCCUCUCCCCCGCCGUCCCGGGCGCGCGCCGCCUCGCGCUCGCCGUCCACGCCCACGCCGUCAGGCUCGGCCUCACGGGUUUCCUCCUCGUGAACAACGCGCUCAUCCGCGUCCACGCGGGCCUGCUCGGCCGCCUGCCCGACGCGCACCUGCUGCUGCGCGCCUCGGCCGCCGUCGACGCCUCCACGUUCAACACGCUCAUCACCGCGCACGCGAGGGCUGGGCGAGUCGCCGACGCCCGCUCCCUGUUCGACGAAAUGCCUGAGAGGAAUGUUGUGUCCUGGAGCGCCAUGGUGAAUGGGUACGUGCAGGCCGGGGACGUGAGGGAGGCGCUGGGGGUGUUCUCUCAGAUGCAGGCCCAAGGUGUCCGCCCGGACGACACGGUUCUCGUCGGGGUGCUUGCCGCGUGCGCGCAGCUGGGGGCUCUGGAACAGGGGAAGUGGGUGCAUGGUUACCUCAAAGCAAACAAUAUCAGGAUCACCGUGUUCCUGGGCACUGCGUUGGUUGAUAUGUAUGCCAAAUGUGGUGAGGUGCAGCUUGGAAUGGAGGUGUUUGAGGGAAUGAAGGACAAGAAUGUGCUGGCCUGGACUACUAUGAUAAAGGGCCUGGCUAUGCACGGCCGCGGCGCAGACUCAUUGACACUCUUCUCCCAGAUGGAGAGCUCAGGUGUGAAGCCGGAUGACAUUGCCUUCAUUGGUGCUCUCUGUGCUUGCACACACACUGGGUUGGUUGACAAGGGUCGGGAGCUUUUCAACUCCAUGGUGAGCAACUAUGGUAUUAAACCAAAGAUUGAGCAUUAUGGAUGCAUGGUAGACCUCCUGGCACGGAAUGGCUUGCUGAGUGAGGCCAGAGACAUGGUUGAGAAAAUGCCCAUGAAACCAGAUGCCUUAAUCUGGGGAGCUCUAAUGGCUGGUUGUAGGUUCCACAAGAAUGUGGAGUUGGCUGAGUAUGCUAUAAAGCACUGGAUCGAAUUGGAGCCAGACAAAAGUGGUGCUUAUGUACUUUUAGGUAACAUAUAUUCUGCCUCUGGUAGGCAUGCUUCUGCGAGGGAAAUUCGGGACCUAAUGCGUGAGAAGGGAGUUGAGAAGACACCUGGAUGUAGCAAUGUGGAGAUUAAAGGAGUUAUCCACCAGUUCAUUGUUGGAGAUCUGUCUCAUCCUCGCAUAAAAGAUAUUUUGACAAAGUGGUAUGAGAUAGAUAGUAGGAUAAGGCUAGAGGAAGGUUACGUGCCUGAUAAGAAAGAAGUUUUGCUUGACAUUGAAGAAGAAGAGAUGGAAGGUGCACUCAGCCGCCACAGUGAGAAGCUGGCAAUCGCAUUUGCUUUGAUAAGUACAAAUGAUAAUAUACCCAUUCGGAUUGUCAAGAACCUCAGAGUCUGCCAAGAUUGCCAUCAUGUCACCAAACUUAUAUCCAAAGUAUAUGGGAGAGAAAUUGUUGUUAGAGAUCGAACACGUUUCCAUUUGUUCAAAGAUGGCACCUGUUCGUGCAAGGACUAUUGGUAGUAACUAACAAAUUUGUCAAUUAACAGUGGUACUUGGUCUCAAUAUAGAGCAUGGGCUGUUGAUCACAAAAAAAAUCUUUUUCAUGAUACAUCAGUGAUGCAUGAGUCGAGGCGAUAAAGUUGGUGAAGAAAAAAAAUCUUGCUAAUUACAAUGUACAUAUAUGGUAUUAGAGAAAUUAUUGUUAGAGAUUGAACACGUUUCCAUUUGUUUAAAAAUGGCACCUGUUCGUGCAAGGAUUAUUGGUAGUAACUGACAGAUUUAUGUAUUAACACCGGUACCUGUCUCAUUAUAGAGCAUGGGCUGUUGAGCACCAAAAUCGAACUCUUUCAUCAUACUCCCAAAAUAUAGCGUGUAUUAGUGAUGCAUGAGUUGAGGGGAUAAAGUUGGUGAAGAAAAUGAAUUCUUACUAAUUAUAAUGUACACAUGCAAUCAUGCCGUUAUUAAGGGUGCGUUUGGUUGUAUUGCCCAGCUUGCCCACUAGCUGAGCUAGCCUAGCUAGCUUAGCUCGGAUGGGCUACCUUUGCCUUAGCUGCACGUUUGGUUCAAUGCCGUUGCUGGCAAGGGCCAGCAGCUAGUCGUUUGGUUGUGCUGCGGGCAAAGUAGCUCAUCUUCACAGUAUCCAAAUCACUGAUUACGAGUUGAAGGACUAGUCGAGACUAGUCGAUGGACUAGUCUAUGAGUCGCACCUGUGGUGUCGACUGCAAAUCUCAUGCAGACUAAUUCGAUGAGUCGAGCGGUCGAGAGACUAGUCUGGACUAGUCGUGUACAUUAAGUCGAAUGACUCAAACUUUUCUUUAGAGGUGAGUGACUUAAAAUUGGAGGGGAUAACAGAGGCGCUUGGUCUGCGAGCCUGUCGGAGGGAAAUUUUGUGGCUAGGUUUCAGUUUCGCUCCAGAGAGAACUGCCCACUCCUCUGGAGCUCUCCCUCUUCACUGGUUCUGCUGUCCAGAUCCAGCCCUAUCUCUGCUGGUUCCUGGACUGGUUCAUCUGCUCCUGGAUCCUCGCUUUGCAAGUAAUUUCUCCCUUCUCUUAUCAUCAUAUAUGGUUCCUCUAUUGCUUGUUCCUGGGCUGGUUCCUCUACUGUUGGUUCCUGGUUUAAGUUUGCUUGUUUCCAUUCAACAUCCUUAGGUUUGAGCAGAGCUAGAGUUACAAUGUCUACAACACCAGAGAUAUCUCAGACAGCAUGCUCAGCAGCCACUUCAGCUCAAGCCGCUGAGGAUUAUGAUCCAUCAAAGGAUCCUGCGAGGAAGCCAACUAGGACCAAGGAUCCAACAUGGAAGUAUGCCUUUUGGCCUGAUCUGCAGGACAAAUUGUCAAUCCAGUGUGUUUUGCGUGGCAAAAACGUCUCUUCUGGUUACACAGUGGUGUUAAUGUGUCUGAAAGCAAUCCAGUGAGUUUUAUGGAGCAUGUGUUCGGCGCACCCUGACUCGACAUCGACCACGGCAUUCUUCGCACGGCUACCUCGACCACGGCUCCACCACCCACGCUCUUGGCUACAUCGACAAACGGCACAAAGGGCUACCGCCUGCUUGAGCAACCUCGUUGGUUUCCACUCCAGCCACGACUCCGCUAUGCGUCGACCGUUACGACUGUGGGGGGGUGUCCGUCGGCUUGCCUUCGCAUUCUUCUCCAGUCUCACCGUCUGCGUCGCUACCGUUGUGACUGCGGGGGGAUGUUGAGUAACGUGAUUGUAUUAGGAAACAUAGGUUAGACUAGGAAAUAUCCUGGCUUGCCUUGUACUCCGAGUAGAUCAUGUACUCCUAUAUAUAUGCCCAUGAGGCUCAAGCAAUACAUAAAACAAUUCCACCAAUCCCCCUCUAUCCCUUCUAACACAGUGAAGGCAUUAUGUGACAUGUUUAGGCCAUGUAGAGCAAUAAGAUUCCCAACUGAGUCUGGGAUGGGACCAUCAAAUGCGUUGUUUGAGAAAUCAAGCAUCUUGAAAGUGGUCAGGAUCUUGGUAAAUGUAAGAUCAAUCCCUUUGAAUGUGAGUCUCUCUUGGUAGUACUCCCCAGGAAAUCUUGAAUCAAAGGCCAGAGCGUUACCCUUGUCACUAGAGUUUUCUGUCAUUCUUUGUAGCAUGUCAAACCAUUUUGAACUCAAGCUCCCAGAAAAGUUAUUUGAGGCCAAAUCAAUAAUCUGCAAAGCCGAGAAGUCCUUACUACUCGCAUCACUUUCAGCAAGGCCUCCUAUUGAACCAUAUAAUUGAUUUGAUCUCAAGAAGAGAAUUCGUAGAUUAGACAUCUCACCCAACCAAGAUGGAAAAGUAUCAAGAAUUUGAUUGCUACCAAUGUCAAGGACCUCUAAGUUUCUGCAGUUACAUAAUGAUCUUGGUAUCUUCCCUUCAAUUUGGUUGUUGUUCAAAUCAAUUGUCUGAAGCAUACAUCCAUCUCCAAUAUUUUCAGGUAGUAUCCCAUGCAAAUGAUUAUCUCUCAAUUUCAACAUACCUAAACUGCUACCUUCUAUUAGACACGCUGGCAUCAUGCCGCUAAAGUUGUUGUAUGAUAAGUCCAGGAUCUUAAGUUGCUUUUGGGUACAAAUAGACCCUGGAAUGUUACCAUAUAAUUUAUUCCUAGACAAAUCAAGAUGGAUGGUAUUGUUGGGAAGGUACCUACCAAAGUCAGGUAUAAUAGAAGAGAAGCUGUUGUCUGACCAAUCUAACAAAGCACUAGACGACGUAGUUGUAACUGGUAUAGGUACGGUGCCAUGCAGCUUGUUGGAACUAAGAUCAAGCAUUUUUAAAUUGUCCAUUUGAACAAGAGAUGGAGAGUUUUCCAAGCUAGUGAACAUGUUGUUUGAGAGAUUUAGUUCGAACAUACUUUCCUUCCAGUUCACCCAUAUCCAGCUUGGUAUGACUCCAUGUAUUUUGUUAUUUGAAAGGUCCAAGUAAGACAACUGAUUUGUAUACCUCAAUGUGCCUGGAAUUAUUGUAAGGUUGCAAUAUGCUAAUCCUAGAUAUCUGAUGUGAGGGAGGUAAGGCAAUGGAUAACCAUCUUCAACAUCUAUGACUGAUAGAAUAUUAUCGGAGAGCAUCAAAAAAUCUAGUGCAUUCAGCUUCCAAAUAAUGCCAAGUUCUACUGUGCCUUCAAAGUAAUUCGAGUCCAGCAAGAGAACUUGAAGUCUUGUAAGAUCGAAGAAAGAUUUGGGUAUAUGACCUGCAAAGUUGUUAUCUCUUAGCUCGAUGGAGUACAGUAAGGAAGAUAUUGGGUUUGGAAUGUCUUCUAAACUUCCACAAAGUUCAUUUGAUGAUAGUAGUAGUUCUUGCAACGACGGAAGAGUGAACAAAGCCUUUGGGACAUUUCCUGCAUGCAGAUAGAGAACAGUAAUCAAAGAGCAGCAAAUACUUCCCAAAAUAACGUAAUAAUGAUGUGAUGUGCCAAGGGAAGAGAGGGGGGGUCUUACCACUCAACCGAUUGUAUGAUAAGUUCAAAUCUGAAAGCUUGGCCAAGUUCCCAAUCCACGUGGGUAUUGCCCCAGAUAAACUGCACUGUCUGAGCCAUAAGCUCAUCAAGUUUGUACAAUUUCUGAUCCACCAAGGAAUUGGACCAGAGAAAUUAUAGUCAUGCAGCGACAAGUAAAUCAGAUUCUCAAAUCUUCCAACCCAAGAGAGCAUUGGCUUCUCUAUUCCUGAUCCAGAGAGCCACAAUCCAUUUAGGGACGUAAGGUUAGCUAUGGAGGUAAUGGGCUGCUUGUGAGAUCCUAUGUUGCUAAGGCCCAAGAAUUUCAAGGAGUUGAGAUGGACAAAAGAAUCUGGUAUGCCACCAAAAAUGUUUGUCUCCAGUAGAUUUAGUGAUUGCAAACCAUUUCUUGGUGGGAAAUCUGGUAGUUGCACAUAAAGGCUGGGGUUAUAGGACAGGUCAAGAUGUUUCAGAUAUUUUAGCAGGAAGAUAUUUGUGGGAAAUUGCCCUUCAAAAUCAUUAGCCCGGAGGGUAAGGUCUCUUAAGAAAGGGAAUUCUGCAAAGAACCCAGGAACCUUGCCAGAAAUUCCAUUUAGCCCAAGGUCCAUCGUUGCUAGAAACCGGAGUUGGGAAAAUUGAAGGAUGAAUAGAACCAUCCAAUGCUAAAGCAAUGAACCAAGAUUCUGUAGUAGAGGAACAGAGUCUGCUAAAGCAAUGGACCAAGUUGAUCCACCGUUUACGAUUUGCACAUUAUCAAGAUAGAGAUUUCUUAGAUUGCAAAAAUUUGAUACGAAUGUCUGAAAACUUGGAUCUCGGAGAUAUAGAUCAUUGUGUGCAUAACCAGGCCAGUCAAUAUGAGAGUAAAGAUCAAGUGUACGCAAAAUUUGGAGGUGACCAAUUCCAAUGGGUAUCUGACCAAACAACCUCGUAUUAGAAAAAUUGAGACUGAGGAGCUCGGUCAGCCGCUCAAACCCAAAACUAGGAAGACUGGUCAGGCCAAAGUCAUUACCAGAGAGGCUGAGAUUUGUGAGAGAGGUGAGGUUGAAUAGUGCUAGGCUGAGACCACUGGUGCUCCGCAGGUUACGAUUACUGAGGUCCAAAGUGAUCACCUGACCUGGCCCUAUCACACCCGAUGCCCUCCCAGUGGCAACAGUCUGAGCCAUGUUGCCAUGAUGAAAGGUUGGGGUUGUGGAAGGAGUGCUUCAGCUGGAGUAGAGAUGAAGCCUGAUUAGGGAGGCACUGGACUGUGGUUCCAUUGGUGCCAUUGGCAGCAAUGUUGGUGGAGCAGUAGCAUGCAAGGAGUAGCAGGGUGUAGUGAAGCCGUGGGCGCCUGGAGCUCAUCUUUCUACUGCUUAUCUGAUUAUAACUUCAAGCUGGUGCUUGGGGCAAUAUAUAAUAGUACAGGGUAGAUGUAGAAAUCCCAAUAGUACAUUUCGCUCGUUUAUGUUGUGCAGUGUCAUUAUGUGGCCAAUGUUAUUUCCUGUGCAACACCGCAACGCCUUUGAUGUGCACACGACUGGUUGCUCGCUAAUUCAAAGUUCAAAGAACAAAUUGCUACCUCUCAUGAGACAAGGUCCAGUUCCCCGUAGGCCCGUUGCAAGCUACGGUACUUAAUGUAGUCAGUGUACUGCAGGUGCUGUAGCGUGUCUCCUGUGGCAAGAAUUUACAACAGGAUAGCUACAUAUUGCUUAUUUCAUAAGGAAGCUCUCCUCAAGAGCUGGAGUUGAUUAUAUUACCUGAAAUAUAGUCUGAGUUUUACGGGGUAUAUAAGUUGAGCCAACAUUAGAAAAGGUUACUGAUGUUUCUGUUUUACUUCAGAGAAAUACCUUGGGAAUGUACAUGUUCUGAAAAAUGGCAGGUUUACUCUUUGUUCUAUAAGAUAAGGGCUGGAGUUGAUUAGAUUACUGGAUAUGGAGUCUGUGUUUUAGGGGAUAUAAGUUGACCCAGCCAACAUUAGGAAAUACUACACAUAUUAAUUAUAGCUGAUUUGGAGACUGAAGGAAGAAGAAUAUUGAGAUUUCUAUUUUAGCCUUGUCAGUAUGUCACAGGUGAUGCUCUCCCACUGGCAGCAGUCUCUUCCAUCUUGUCAAGACGCCAGAUUCGCAUCGACGUCGAUGAAUGAGUGCUUUAGCCGGAGCAGGGAAGAAGCCUGAUCUUGGAGGCAAGAAACUGUGGUGUUAUGCUUGGCUGCAUACUAGCAGUAGCACUAGCAGGAGUAGUAGUCGACGGAGUAGGAGCAUACUAGCAGUAGCAGGAUUAGUAGGAGGGGUUGCUGUUUAGUUGAGUAAUUUUUCUACUGUCUUGCUAGUUGCUGCUUCCUCGGUGGUGCACAAGGCUAUACAUGGCAGUUUAUGUUUUUUUUUGCGGGUGAAUGGCAGUUUAUAUUUAACUGUAUUGUACAGAUUUUCCUUGAAAAAUGUAUUGUACAGAUUUUCCAUUUACACUUCUAAGGCUGCGAGCACAACAGAUCACCGUAGAUUGUGGACUAUAGUGACGUUCAUGUUGUUGUCCUAGACUAAUUCAGCAUAUCGAGUGUUGGUUGUUGUGCGAUCUUUGACUGCCUCAGUGGAAUUUUUUUUUUGAGAACAAGCGGAAUUUCUUUUGUGGUUGUGGUUGGUUUACAUCCUUGUGCACCACGGACUCAGGUCCUCAAACAUUGCUGUUCUAAUUGUUUGGGUAGUUCUUUCAAGGAAAACAUAAAAGAUUCUAAGGUAACAAGCACCCGUGUAUAAAUACAGGCUUUACAACUUCAGGCCAGUGCUCAGGGCAAUAUAUAAUACAGGGUAGAACCAUACAAGUAGAAAUUUGGGCAGUGCAUUUUCGUUCCUAGCAGUAGAAGUUUAUGUUAAAUGCCACUGUUGUUAGUCCAAGAUGAAAGCAUGUGUAGAGCCAUCAUGUGGCCAGUGUUAUUUCCUGUGCAAUACGGCAGUGCCUUUGAUGUGCACACGACUGGUUGCUGACUAAUUGAAAGGUUACGGAACGGCUUGUUACCUUUCAUGAGUCAAGGUCUCUACUUGCAUGUAGGCCCGUUGCAAGCUACUGUAGUUAAUGUUGUCACUGUACUGUAGUGUUGCAGCGUGUCUUCACCGGCAAGAAUCUACAGCAGGAGAGCUACAUUAUUAUUAAUUUGAUUAGGAAUCUCUCCUCUAGAGCUGGAGUUAAUUAGAUUACUAGAAAGAGAGUCUGUGUGAGUUUCAGGGGUAUAUAAGUUGAGCCAACAUAAGAAAAGGCUACACAUACUAUUAGUUAUAGCUGAUUUGAAGACUAAAUGGAGAAUUUAAUCUUUCUGUUUUACUCAGAGAAAUACCUUGGGAACAUACAUGUUCUGAAAAUUUGCAGGUUACUGUUUGCUUGUAAAAUAAGAGCUGGAGUUGAUUAGAUUACUGGAUAUGGAGCCUGAGUUUUAUGGGAUAUUAGUUCAGACAACGAACAUUGGGGAGGAUGGUGGCCGGCGAAGCUGCUGCUCGUGCUGAAGGAGGCCACGCAGUAGCAGGAGUAGGAGGGCGUGGAGGCAUGCCAGUUUGUAUCUGGAAACUGUAUUGUACAGAAUUUCCAUCACCACAGAAGAAGGUGAUGGAGAUUGUAUAUAGUAUUUACUUCUAUACAAUCACUUCAGAAGAAGGUGAUGGAGUACAUUUCUAAGGCUGCGAGUUCAAACGACCGAUUCCGCAAAUCAGGUAUUGUCUCUGGCCUGUGUUUGACUGCCUUUUCGGUGGGAUUUCUUUUGAAGUACACUCGGCAGCGGCUGUGCCCAACCUCUGAAGCAUCGGUUUGGUUUACAUCCCUGUGCACAGCAAACAUCGCUGUUCCAAACAAAUUAUUCUACAGAUUUUCCUUCACCGCAGAAGGAGGCCAUGGACAAUAAUAUUUACACUUCUAAUGGCUGUGAGAGCAACCGAUCACCGACGUUCUGUCUUGCUGUCCUAGACCGAUUCGGCAUAUCAAUUUUUGGUUCCUUUUUUUGAGUAACAUCAAUUUUUGGUUCCUGUGCAGUGUUUAACGGCAUAUUCAGUGGAAUUUCUUUUGUGGUCGUGGUAGAUACAUUCGGCAGUGGCCAUGCGCUCUCAAGCCAUUGGUUUCGUUUACAUCCUUGUGGAAAAAAUGAAAAAAAAAUAUUUUGGGUAAUUAUUUUGUUGUUAUAUUUUUUGGGGGUAAUUUUUCAAGGUAAAACAUAAAGGUUCGAGAUAACAAGCACCCGUAUAUAAAUUCUUGGUCAUGGUGAAAAGAUCUCAAAUAAUCUAGCUAAAAUUCCAGUAACUAUUCACAUAUUGUGCCUAUUGCCCCGAUGAAAUCGAUACUCCCCCCGGUUCCAAAAUAAGCAUCGCUAAUUUAAUAUAAAAUCAGCACAAAGUUGUACUAAAUCAACAACCCUUGUUUUGGGACGGAGGAGUAGCAUUUAGCGUUCAAAAUUAGGGAUACUCGUGACUCACCUUCGACGAGGAAGGCCGCCAUCAGGUACUGCUACGAACACGAGAAAGUCGUUUAGGAUUUUGGGAAUGUUCAGAACCUUCCCAAACCGGGUUCUCUUGUUCUUUUUUCUGCUUUCCUCCUUUUCUUUUUUCAUUUUUUUUUCUUUUUUGUUUCCAAAUUCAUGAACAUUUUCUGAAAUCUGAGAACAUUUUUUCAAAUUUGUGAACAUUAUUUGAAAUUCAAAAUUUAUUCAUCAAAUUCAAAAAACGUCCAUCAUAUUGAAAAAUGUUCAUCAAAUUCAAAAAAUGAUCAUUAAAUUUAAAUUUUGUACAUCAAAAUACAUAAAAUAAUAAUUGAAAAUUCAAAAAUGUUCAUAAAAAUACAAAAAAUGUCACAAAAAUUCAAAAAAUGUUCAUUUUUAGAAUUUAUGAACAUUUUCCUGAAUUCAUGAACAUUUUUUAAAUUCUUGAACAGGUUUUUGCAUUAGUAAACAUUUUUUCGAAAUUCUAAUUUGCUUUUUGAAAUCCCAAACUUUUUUAAAGAAGCAAAAAACAAAAACAGAAAAAAAAAGAUACGAAAAAAAUAAGGGAGACCGGCCCCGCAUCUGGGUCGGCCCAAGGUCACACAUGGGGGAGCGAGAGGGUGCGCGCUAAAUCUCAAAAAAAAGAGGGUGCGCGUUGCCCACUUUCCCACACGCUCGUCCGGCCGCAACGCCGGCGUCCGCAGGCGGCUGUAGUUCAUGCACCAAGUCGGAGCAUCAUCACUCGCGUGAGAUAUGAGACACAGGAAACGCGGCAAGCCGGAGCAGGGAUGCCGCCCAAGUUGCUACCUGCUACGGACUUGGUCAGUUUUCACUCUCGUCACUGGGGACGCCAUGGGGUUCGUCCUCGUGCUCCAGGUGUUCGAUGGAAUGUGCCUGGGCGACAAAAUGCACACAUCUCUCAUUUAUUUUUCCCAAAAAAUGGCGCGUGAAAUACAGGAUUGACACUAGGAACUGUAAGUCUAAUUGGACUCGUUUACUACCUUUUCAGGUGUCCUGGGUUGACCAAACUCUGGCCGCAAAAGAGCUGCUGGGGAUCAAGGUCUACCACAGACUCUGCCUUGAUUAACCUUAAGAAGCAGGUUCGUACAAGCUCAUACUAUGAUUUUGUUUCCUUACUUUACAAUUCAUCAUAUAUGAAAAGGAGAAAAGGUGCAUCAGUCUUAUACAAGUAGGUUCGUACAAACUCAUAUCAAUACAUAUGAUAAACAAACACACUGACACAGCCCAGGCCACACAUCAUUUACUGGUAGAACGGAAACGAUUGCAGUUCCAGCGUUUGGCCUGGAAAGCCACUGACAAAACAACAGCCACCGCAAAGCCAACUCCGAAACCGGAUCCCACAAACACAAACAACACUAUGGUUCCAACACUGUCUUGCGAAGACACCGAUGAGUUGAGGGUUCCGGUACCUGAACUGUUGCACUGUUUGGACAGUGGCUUCCCACACAGUCCUUCAUUGCCUUCGAAUGAGCUGUUGGUGAACAGUGAGAACUGCUGCCCUUCUGGUAUCAUUCCGGUCAAAUUGUUGUAGGAGAGAUUCAACACGGCCAGAUAUGUUAGGCUGGUUUGAUCCCUUGGGAUCUCCCCCGAGAGCUUGUUCCGAGAGAGGUCCAGUGACUCAAGCUGUGCCAAGUCACCAAGCUUUGAUAGGAUUCUUCCAGUGAAGGCAUUAUGUGACAUGUUCAGGCCAUGUAGAGCAAUAAGAUUCCCAAUUGAGUCUGGCAUGGGACCAUCAAAUGUGUUGUUUGAGAAAUCAAGCAUCUUGAAAGUGGUCAGGAUCUUGGUAAAUGUAAGAUCAAUCCCUUUGAAUGUGAGUCUCUCUUGGUAGUACUCCCCGGGAAAUCUUGAGUCAAAGGCCAGAGCAUUACCCUUCUCACUAGAGUUUUCUGUCAUUCUUUGUAGCAUGUCAAACCAUUUUGAACUCAAGUUCCCAGAAAAGUUAUUUGAGGCCAAAUCAAUAAUCUGCAAAGCCGAGAAGCCCUUACUACUCGCAUCACUUUCACCAGGGCCUCCUAUUGAACCAUAUAAUUGAUUUGAUCUCAAGAUGAGAAUUCGUAGAUUAGACAUCUCACCCAACCAAGAUGGAAAAGUAUCAAGAAUUUGAUUGCUACCAAUGUCAAGAACCUCUAAGUUUCUGCAGUUACAUAAUGAUCUUGGUAUCUUCCCUUCAAUUUGGUUGUUGUUCAAAUCAAUUGUCUGAAGCAUACAUCCUUCUCCAAUAUUUUCAGGUAGUAUCCCAUGCAAAUGAUUAUCUCUCAAUUUCAACAUACCUAAGCUGCUACCUUCUAUUAGAUUCUGUAGUAGAGGAACAGAGUCUGCUAAAGCAAUAGACCAAGUUGAUCCACCGUUUACGAUUUGCACAUUAUCAAGAUAGAGAUCCCUUAGAUUGCAAAAUUUGGAUACGAAUGUCUGAAAACUUGGAUCUCGGAGAUAUAGAUCAUUGUGUGCAUAACCAGGCCAGUCAGUAUGAGAGGGAAGAUCAAGUGUACGCAAAUUUUGGAGGUGACCAAUUCCAAUGGGUAUCUGACCAAACAACCUCGUAUUAGAAAAAUUGAGACUGAGGAGCUCGGUCAGCCGCUCAAACCCAAAACUAUGAAGACUGGUCAGGCCAAAGUCAUUACCAGAGAGGCUGAGAUUUGUGAGAGAGGUGAGGUUGAAUAGUGCUAGGCUGAGACCACUGGUGCUCUGCAGGUUACGAUCACUGAGGUCCAAAGUGAUCACCCGACCGGAUGCCCUGUCACAUCCAACACCCUCCCAGUGGCAACAGUCUGUGCCCUGUUGCCAUGACGAGAGGUUGGGUUUGAGAAAGGAGUGCUUCAGCUGGAGCAGAGAUGAAGCCUGAUUAGGGAGGCACUGGACUGUGGUUCUAUUGCCGCCGUUGGCAGCAAUUUUGAUGGAGCAGUAGCAUGUGAGGAGUAGCAGGGUGAAGUGAAGCCGUGGGCUCCUGAAGCUCAUCUUUCUACUGCUUGUCUACCUUAUAGCUUCAAGCUGGUGCUUGGGGCAAUAUAUAAUACAGGGUAGAUGUAGAGAUCCCAAUAGUACAUGUCGCUCAUUUAUGUUCAAUGCGGCAUUUUUCUUGAAAGGGCUAUUGUUGGUCAAUGAUGAAAGCGUGUGCAGUGUCAUUAUGUGGCCAAUGUUAUUUCCUGUGCAACACCGCAGCGCCUUUGAUGUGCACACGACUGGUUGCUGACUAAUUCAAAGUUCAAAGAACAAAUUGCUACCUCUCAUGAGACAAGGUCCAGUUCCCCGUAGGCCCGUUGCAAGCUACGGUACUUAAUGUAGUCAGUGUACUGCACGCAGGUGCUGUAGCGUGCCUCCUGUGGCAAGAAUUUACAACAGGAUAGCUACAUGUUGCUUAUUCCCUCCGUCCAAAAAUAUUUGUCAUCAAAAUGGAUAAAAAGUGAUGUAUCUAGAACUAAAAUACAUCUAGAUACAUCCCCUUUUAUUCAUUUUGAUGACAAGUAUUUCCGGACGGAGGGAGUAUUUGAUAAGGAAGCUCUCCUCAAAAGCUGGAGUUGAUUAUAUUACCUGAAAUAUAGUGUGAGUUUUACGGGGUAUAUAAGUUGAGCCAACAUUAGAAAAGGUUACUGAUGUUUCUAUUUUACUUCAGAGAAAUACCUUGGGAACGUACAUGUUCUGGAAAAUUGCAGGUUACUCUUGACUCUGUAAGAUAAGAGCUGGAGUUGAAUAGGUUACUGGAUAUGGAGUCUGAGUUUUAGGGGAUAUAAGUUGAGCCAGCCAACAUUAGGAAAGGCUACACAUAUUAAAUAUUAAUUAUAGCUGAUUUGGAAACUGAAGGAAAAAAAUAUUGAGGCAUCUAUUUUAGCCAUGUCACAGGUGACGCCCUCCCACACUGGCAGCAGUCUCUUCCAGCUUGCCAAGAUGCCAGAUUCGCAUCGAUGUCGAUAAAUGAGCGCUUUAGCUGGAGGAGGGAAGAAGCCUGAUCUUGGAGGCAAGAAACAGUGGUGUUAUGCUUGGCUGCAGUAUCCAGUAGAAGUGGCACUAGCAGGAGUAGUAGGAUCGUAGAGGCAAGAUACUAUCAACGGUUUAGGAGCAUUAGCAGGAGCAGGAUUAGUAGGACGUGGAGGGGUCACUGUUUAGUUGAGUAAUUUUUCUACUGUCUUGCUGCUUCCUCAAUGGUGCACAAGGCAUGGCAGUUUAUGUUUAACUGUAUUGUAUAGAUUUUCUUGAAAAAGGUAUUGUACAGAUUUUCCUUGAAAAAGGUAUUGUACAGAUUUUCCAUCACCACAGAAGAAGGUGAUGGAGAAUGUAUUUACACUUCUAAGGCUGCAAGUGCAACAGAUCACGGUAGAUUGCGGACUAUAGUGACGUUCGUGUUGCUGUCCUAGAUAGAUUCAGCAUAUCAAGUGUUGGUUGCUGUGUGGUGUUUUACUGCCUCAGUGGAUUUUUUAUAGAAGUGGAAUUUCUUUUGUGGUUGUGGUUGGCGUACAUCCUUGUGCACUGCGGACUCAGGUCCACGAACAUUGCUGUUCUAAUUUUUGGGGGUAGUUCUUUCAAGGAAAACAUAAAAGGUUAAGAUAACAAGCACCCAUGUAUAUAUGUCAGGUGUGCUUGUGUCUCCACUGAGAGUGAUGUUAUCAGAUGGGGUUUGGGUCCUAAGCAUGUAUAUACGACCAAAUCCAUGUAUACAUAUCUUGAAAGAAACAUCUCAGGUUGCAACUACCGGUGGAUCUGGAAAGCCCGUAUUCCUUUGAAAAUUUAGAUUUCCAUGUGGCAAUUGUCGCAGGAUGCGGUGCUAACUAGGGACAUGAUGAAACAUCGUGGGUGGAAAGGGGAACCAAAGUGCUCGUUCUGCGGGGAAAGGGAGACUUCCCAACACCUAUUUUUCACGUGCCCUGUUGCGAGAGUUACCUGGAGAGUGGUGGGGUGCAUGCUGGGCACUGAACAGUGCCCUAACAAUUUGUGGCAGGCUUAUGUUUGGUGUCAUGUGUUUUUACCGGGGGAGAUGUCUUUUAUACGGCUGGCAUUGCGGCCAUUUGCUGGGCUAUCUGGACCCGUCGUAACAGAGUUAUUUUUGAACAUAUUCCUCUCAAAUCUCCGUUUGAAUGCAUCUUCUCUGCUUGUGCGCUGUUGUGUUACUGGGCAGGUCUGAUGAAGCAAGAGGACGCGAUGACACUGAGAACUGGAGGGGAAAAGCUGAAAGAGAAUACUUCUCGUCUGAUGAGGAUCUGCGCGACGGCUUAUCAAGAAGAAGGAGCUCGUUGAGGAGGGGGUGAUCGUGAUCUUGUCUUUUACUUUGCUGGAAUAGUUGCCUCCUGCGUGAGGUUGGUUCGGGCCUGUUGCUCUGGUUGGAGCCUAUCGUUUGUUUUGGUCUGGUUGUAGACGGUGUUUGAUCUGGUUAGGGCUUGGAUUAUAUAGUGUCGUCGGGUUUUCGCCCCACAGUGAGUAAUCUCGAUGACGAGUGCUCAUGGUGGGUUUUCCGGCGAUGCUUGAACCCGCUUUCCUCUUUCCCGCCUUAUUUUCUGGACAAUGGUUGUAUUUCCGUUAUGUCGCAGUAAUGGAAAGGGGUAAUGCCUGGUUAAAAAAAAAAGCACCCAUGUAUAAACACAUGCUUUACAACUUCAAGCUAGUGCUCAAGGAAUAUAUAUUACAGGGUAGAAU